Molecule: ribosomal RNA, 252 nt
Filed under: Escherichia coli
Lineage: Bacteria; Pseudomonadati; Pseudomonadota; Gammaproteobacteria; Enterobacterales; Enterobacteriaceae
Description: partial 23S ribosomal RNA
Rfam family: Bacterial large subunit ribosomal RNA
Source: RNAcentral
CCGGCGAUUUCCGAAUGGGGAAACCCAGUGUGUUUCGACACACUAUCAUUAACUGAAUCCAUAGGUUAAUGAGGCGAACCGGGGGAACUGAAACAUCUAAGUACCCCGAGGAAAAGAAAUCAACCGAGAUUCCCCCAGUAGCGGCGAGCGAACGGGGAGGAGCCCAGAGCCUGAAUCAGUGUGUGUGUUAGUGGAAGCGUCUGGAAAGGCGCGCGAUACAGGGUGACAGCCCCGUACACAAAAAUGCACAUA